CUGGAUUCCAAGCUGAUGGCCAGUCUACCCUGUUCUCACUACAGUGAUAGUUGAUAGGGCAUCUCUUCAAACUGCAAUCAAUAUUUCUCUAGGUAACUGUUUGUUGUGUAUUACCUAGCUCUAGAAACACUGAUCAGCCACAACAUUAAAAGCACUGACGGGUGACGUGAUUAAAGGACCACUAAAGUGCCAGGAAAACAUACUCGUUUUCCUGGCACUAUAGUGCCCUGAGGGUGCCCCCACCCUCAGGGACCCCCUCCCGCCGGGCUCUGGGGAGAGGAAGGGGUUAAAAUCUUACCUUUCUCCAGCGCCGGGCGGGGAGCUCUCCUCUCCGCCUCUUCUCCUCUUCUU
This is a non-coding RNA of Pelobates cultripes (western spadefoot toad), 351 nucleotides long. NCBI's taxonomy places the organism in Eukaryota, Metazoa, Chordata, Amphibia, Anura, Pelobatidae. The record is from the annotation of a GenBank genome assembly.